Molecule: long non-coding RNA, 550 nt
Organism: Cyprinodon tularosa
Lineage: Eukaryota; Metazoa; Chordata; Actinopteri; Cyprinodontiformes; Cyprinodontidae
Exons: 3
Source: RefSeq, a predicted model, not a curated record
UUUGCCUUGUAUCAGGACAAACAAAUGAUUUGACAAGAACUGGCUCAAAUUACAUAAAAUUUUAUUUGUUUUAUUAUUUUUCUCCAUUUAGUUAUCAUAUCAACAGCAAAGAGGACAGGAAAGUUAGAUAAAGUCAAGGGUCGCAGGGGGAAAUGCCAGCCCAGAUACAUCCCUGGGGCAGCUCCGUGAUCUAUCCAGCUUCAUCUUCACUUCUUACCUUCUUUUAAAUGUCAUUCUUGUUCAUUAAAUUGAUUAUAUGAUGAAGAAAAUUUAAAGUGUUUUAAUAAGCCCUAUUGUUAAUAUAAACAUUUAUUCUCUCUCCUAUGCAUUGGUUUCAUUUUUGACAAUACUGUUAAAGUUACUGAAUUAGAAUAGGUUUUUUUCAUAACUGUUUGGUAAUUGCUUGACACAUCAAUUCAUUCCAUUUUCAGACAACAACUGAGGUCAGAUACAGGCUUUCUCCUGACUAUAGAUGACUGUAAAUGCCAAGUGGAAAUUUGGGGUUCCUCUAGAAAGAGAGAUCCCGGACAAGCCCCCACAUAUGUUACGG